CUUUUGUGGGGUGCUCGAGUGGCGAACGGGUAGGUAACACGUGAGUAACCUGCCCUUGACUUUGGGAUAACUUCAGGAAACUGGGGCUAAUACCGGAUAGGAGCUCCUGCUGCAUGGUGGGGGUUGGAAAGUUUCGGCGGUUGGGGAUGGACUCGCGGCUUAUCAGCUUGUUGGUGGGGUAGUGGCUUACCAAGGCUUUGACGGGUAGCCGGCCUGAGAGGGUGACCGGCCACAUUGGGACUGAGAUACGGCCCAG
Molecule: ribosomal RNA, 256 nt
Filed under: uncultured Actinomycetales bacterium
Lineage: Bacteria; Bacillati; Actinomycetota; Actinomycetes; Actinomycetales
Description: partial 16S ribosomal RNA
Rfam family: Bacterial small subunit ribosomal RNA
Source: RNAcentral